Long non-coding RNA from Ostrea edulis (European flat oyster), 1040 nucleotides. RefSeq lists it as uncharacterized. NCBI's taxonomy places the organism in Eukaryota, Metazoa, Mollusca, Bivalvia, Ostreida, Ostreidae. The record is from RefSeq and is a predicted model, not a curated record. The transcript has 2 exons.
ACACACACAAGUACGUAUACACCAGUUACCAGUUAUAGUAAUACAAGUCUUUAGCAAAUAACAAACUUGCUUGACAACGGAUAGCUGAUAUUGUUUACUUCCGCGGUUCUAUGCAGCGAUCUGAACACGAGACACAUAUCACGCGUUCAUCUACACCGGUGGUACGACUCAAUAGCAGUAGGGAGAAACAGAAGACGCGUGAAGAUGGGCGUGGUGGACUCCGUAAAGGGUUUCCUGUAUUUCUGGUACCUUCAAUAUACGCUCAACACCAGUAUCUACAUGUUAGAACCAUUGGAACAAGUCUUAUUCAAUGCGUUUUUAGUGUGUUUUCUGGCCAUCAGUGUGUACACAUUCUAUAUAUUUGUCCCAAUCCACGUUGUCCAAAUUUAUGAACUUGUACUUGGAUUGAGAAAUGUUUCGGAAGCGACAUGAAACGGGACAGAACUCGCUGAUGAAACGCUUCUUGCUUGUGGACACGAGUGAUCAUCAUAUUAGUGUGCAGUACGAUGGAGGAUAUCGCUUCGUAUUCUAUAUUGACUGUGUUCAGGAUGCACACCAUCUGUAUACGACAAGAUCCGACAUUCCUCCACACAAUAACUCCAGUACAUGUGUAAUAUAUUAAUUGUAAAUUCUUAAAAAAUGUUACCUAUUCAUAACUUAUUCAUUGUUAAAGCAGAGACGCGAUACUUUAGGGUUUUUUAUUAUGGCGAAGUAAAUGAUGCAUUGCUGUUGACUGAAUGUAAUUUAUUCCGAAUGUAAUCUAAAAAAAUCUUUUAUUUGAAUGUAGUUCUUGGGAAUUGUGCAAUUUAUUAUCCACAAUGUCAAAUCGGUCAUGGUUCAAGCGAUACAUGUACAUCAGAUUCGGGAGUUUAAAGACACUCGAUACCAACAACAACAAAAUUUGAUGCAUGGGUUGAUACAGACAUUUUGGCUUCAUUUGGUUGCACAAAUAUGAAAUUCCUAAUAAUGAUGAUAAUACAUACGGUAAAUUAAAAAUUUGUAUUAAUUUUACUUAUUAUAAUAAAAAUUUAGUUAUCCUU